This 495-nucleotide ribosomal RNA is filed under the name uncultured bacterium. RNAcentral describes it as "partial 16S ribosomal RNA". It matches the Rfam family "Bacterial small subunit ribosomal RNA", at positions 28 to 507 of the family's 1533-position model. The record is from RNAcentral.
GACGAACGCUGGCGGCGUGCCUAAUACAUGCAAGUAGGACGCUGCAGGAGGAGCUUGCUUCUACAGAUGUGUUGCGCACGGGUGAGUAACGCGUAGGUAACCUGCCUGGCAGCGGGGGAUAACGAUUGGAAACGAUAGCUAAUACCGCAUAAUAGUAGAUGUUGCAUGACAUUUGCUUAAAAGGUGCAAUUGCAUCACUACCAGAUGGACCUGCGUUGUAUUAGCUAGUUGGUGGGGUAACGGCUCACCAAGGCGACGAUACAUAGCCGACCUGAGAGGGGGAGCGGCCACGCUGGGGCGGUGACAAGGCCCGGACUCCUACGGGAGGCAGCAGGAGGGAAUCUUCGGCGAUGGACGUAAGGCUGACCGAGCAACGCCGCGAGGGUGAAGAAGGUGGUCGGAUCGGAAAGCUCGGUGGUAAGAGGAGAGCGAGUGUGAGAGUUGAAAGGUCACUCUGUGACGGUAGCUUACCAGAAAGGGACGGCUAGCUACGUG